Molecule: ribosomal RNA, 305 nt
Filed under: uncultured bacterium
Lineage: Bacteria
Description: bacterial SSU rRNA
Rfam family: Bacterial small subunit ribosomal RNA
Source: RNAcentral
UCCUACGGGGGGCAGCAGUGGGGAAUAUUGCACAAUGGGCGCAAGCCUGACCCAGCAACGCCGCGUGAAGGAAGAAGGCUUUCGGGUUGUAAACUUCUUUUCUUGGGGACGAAGAAAGUGACGGUACCCAAGGAAUAAGCCACGGCUAACUACGUGCCAGCAGCCGCGGUAAUACGUAGGGGGCAAGCGUUAUCCGGAUUUACUGGGUGUAAAGGGAGCGUGGGUGGCAUGGUAAGCCAGAAGUGAAAACCCGGGGCUCAACCCCGCGGAUUGCUUUUGGAACUAUCAGGCUGGAGUGCUGGAGG